Gopherus flavomarginatus (Mexican gopher tortoise) is the source of this 1671-nucleotide long non-coding RNA. RefSeq lists it as uncharacterized. Lineage: Eukaryota; Metazoa; Chordata; Testudines; Testudinidae. The record is from RefSeq and is a predicted model, not a curated record. The transcript is spliced from 3 exons.
GGACAAACCUCCCCUACUACCACUAUGGGCGGAGCCGCUGGGUCCUGCGCCUGCCCCUCAGAGGUCACGGCGCAGACCCGGAAGUAUAAAAGGAUGCCUGCAGAGCUCAGUCGAGGCCCAGCCACUGCAGGGACCAGACGUCUGCAGCUGCUGCCAUCUGGAGCCCACACCCGGCCAGCCAAGCCUGCCCCGCGCCAGCUACCCCGAGGAGCCGCUGAGCCUACCAUCAGCUACUUACCCAGAAGAACCGAUGGUGUUUGAGACCGCCGGUGACAUUACGACGACUCAGGACAGCGGAGCCAUCAGCCAGUGGACUAGAGCGAGGUGGUGGGGAUACCUCACAGCCCCGCUGCGGGAGAAACUGCGGCUGAGCCACACUACACACAUAAACAGAGAAAUGAAGAAAGGGAAUUUUCCUGCGCUUCCAAGAAGAGUAUUGAUUCAGUGAAGCUGCUGCGAUGACAGGUCACAUGCCUAACAACAAAAUGAAUUAGUGACAGGAAGCCUCUGUUCAGCUGAGGUUUAUAGAGGGUUCAACAAUCUUCGGGUGCUGCACAAAUGGGACUGGCUUUUGGAGACUGUGCCUGCUGAUGGAGUCAUCUCAUAUUGUUUGUACCUUUUAUCAUGAAGGACAGUAAAGCACUCUCUUACCAGGCUGAGGUGGUGAAAAACGAGGUCUGAAGCCACAAUGUGGACAGUGGAGAUGUUCAUCUGGAGAAGAGAGGGAAGAAAGCAGGGUGGUUGUUUUUAAGGCACUCUCAUUUCACGACUACUUAGAAUUGACACUGACAAUUGUUUAUCCUGAGGAAAUAUUAUCAGAUCUUGUGAGAGGGAAACAUCUUGGCCCAGAUUAGUAACAGUAGAGUCUGAAAUUCUCCACAAAACAAGUACAACAUAGAAGACGGCAAUAUAAGUAUCCCCUAGCUUCUUAUCCAGUGUGCCUCAGCCAUGACCUGGAGGAACGAUCACUCAUGCUCUUUUAAACCUCUGCCUCUGUGUUACUGCUGACAAGUCUGUCAGUUGUGAUGGUGUUUUUGUGAUGUGAAUGUUAGUCUAUUAGGAACUGGAGGAGGUGUCACUCACCAGCUCAUUCCAGGUAGGCCACGAGGGCCUAUGAUAGUGACUUUCAGUCACUGUCAGCUGGGCUCAGAUUCAGACUGGUGACUAGUGAAAGCCCUUGGAUCUCACUAUCAAUCUCGUGAGUAGAGCUGGUUGGAAUGUUUUGAUUUUGAUUAAGUUUUUGUUCUGAAGGGGGUGUGUGCAUGAGUGAGAGAGACCUGAAUCUCUCUAGCAUGGUAGUUAGAUCACUGCUGUGAGAUUUGGGAGAUACAGGUUUCCCACAUCCCAGGCCACAUAGGCACAGAAAAACUCAGGUUUUGAUCCAAACGUGUACUUUUAAACACAAUUUUGUUUCAUGCUAAUGUUCAAAAAGUCUUGUUUUGUUUCAAAAUGGAUUUGGAAUCCUCCUAACAGCUCUGCUUGUGAGCUAUUCAGCUUCUAUUACGCACAUUAUUAAAUGUUAAUUGUCAUUAGAGUUAUAAUGACUAACUAAUGGAUGCCAUAAUGGCAAGGAUGGGAGCAGAUUAACUUGCAUUGCUACAGAUAUCUAUCUAGCCCUGAGAGUUUUUAUGGUAUAUGGACUGAUUUAAUAUAGUAAUGUAAUAGGGCUCA